This 497-nucleotide ribosomal RNA is filed under the name uncultured bacterium. RNAcentral's name for it is "partial 16S ribosomal RNA". It matches the Rfam family "Bacterial small subunit ribosomal RNA", at positions 28 to 507 of the family's 1533-position model. The record is from RNAcentral.
GAUGAACGCUGGCGGCGUGCCUAAUACAUGCAAGUCGAGCGAACAGACGAGGAGCUUGCUCCUCUGACGUUAGCGGCGGACGGGUGAGUAACACGUGGAUAACCUACCUAUAAGACUGGGAUAACUUCGGGAAACCGGAGCUAAUACCGGAUAAUAUAUUGAACCGCAUGGUUCAAUAGUGAAAGACGGUUUUGCUGUCACUUAUAGAUGGAUCCGCGCCGCAUUAGCUAGUUGGUAAGGUAACGGCUUACCAAGGCAACGAUGCGUAGCCGACCUGAGAGGAGGAUCAGCCACACUGGAACUGAGACACGGUCCAGACUCCUACGGGAGGCAGCAGUAGGGAAUCUUCCGCAAUGGGCGAAAGCUUGAUGGAGCAACGCCGCGUGAGUGAUGAAGGUCUUCGGAUCGUAAAACUCUGUUAUUAGGGAAGAACAAAUGUGUAAGUAACUAUGCACGUCUUGACGGUACCUAAUCAGAAAGCCCCGGCUAACUACGUG